AUGAACGCUGGCGGCGUGCCUCAUACAUGCAAGUCGAGCGAACAGACGAGGAGCUUGCUCCUCUGACGUUAGCGGCGGACGGGUGAGUAACACGUGGAUAACCUACCUAUAAGACUGGGAUAACUUCGGGAAACCGGAGCUAAUACCGGAUAAUAUAUUUAACCGCAUGGUUCAAUAGUGAAAGACGGUUUUGCUGUCACUUAUAGAUGGAUCCGCGCCGCAUUAGCUAGUUGGUAAGGUAACGGCUUACCAAGGCAACGAUGCGUAGCCGACCUGAGAGGGUGACCGGCCACACUGGAACUGAGGCACGGUCCAGACUCCUACGGGAGGCAGCAGUAGGGAAUCUUCCGCAAUGGGCGAAAGCCUGACGGAGCAACGCCGCGUGAGUGAUGAAGGUCUUCGGAUCGUAAAACUCUGUUAUUAGGGAAGAACAAAUGUGUAAGUAACUAUGCACGUCUUGACGGUACCUAAUCAGAAAGCCACGGCUAACUACGUG
This 496-nucleotide ribosomal RNA is filed under the name uncultured bacterium. RNAcentral describes it as "partial 16S ribosomal RNA". It matches the Rfam family "Bacterial small subunit ribosomal RNA", at positions 29 to 507 of the family's 1533-position model. The record is from RNAcentral.